AGCCCUAGCACAGGUGCUGCAUGGCCGUCGUCAGCUCGUGCCGUGAGGUGUUCGGGUUAAGUCCCGCAACGAGCGCAACCCCCGCCGUUAGUUGCCAGCGGUUCGGCCGGGCACUCUAACGGGACUGCCCGCGAAAGCGGGAGGAAGGAGGGGACGACGUCUGGUCAGCAUGGCCCUUACGGCCUGGGCGACACACGUGCUACAAUGCCCACUACAAAGCGAUGCCACCCGGCAACGGGGAGCUAAUCGCAAAAAGGUGGGCCCAGUUCGGAUUGGGGUCUGCAACCCGACCCCAUGAAGCCGGAAUCGCUAGUAAUCGCGGAUCAGCAUGCCGCGGUGAAUACGUUCCCGGGCCUU
This 357-nucleotide ribosomal RNA is filed under the name uncultured Thermus sp. RNAcentral's name for it is "bacterial SSU rRNA". It matches the Rfam family "Bacterial small subunit ribosomal RNA", at positions 1025 to 1382 of the family's 1533-position model. The record is from RNAcentral. Lineage: Bacteria; Thermotogati; Deinococcota; Deinococci; Thermales; Thermaceae.